This is a small nuclear RNA of Pan paniscus (pygmy chimpanzee), 98 nucleotides long. Lineage: Eukaryota; Metazoa; Chordata; Mammalia; Primates; Hominidae. The record is from Ensembl.
GUGCUUAUUUUGGCAGAACUAAAAUUGGAACGAUACAGAGAUUAGCAUGGCCCCUGUGCAAAGAUGACAUGCAAAUUUGUGAAGAGUUCCAUAUUUUA